GUCGACGGCCAUGCUACCCUGAACAAGCCCAAUUCUGUCUGAUCUUGGAAGCUAAGCAGAGUCGGGCCUGGUUAGUACUUGAAUGGGAGAACAACUAGGAAGACCAGGCGCUGUAGGUG
This is a ribosomal RNA of Pteropus vampyrus (large flying fox), 119 nucleotides long. NCBI's taxonomy places the organism in Eukaryota, Metazoa, Chordata, Mammalia, Chiroptera, Pteropodidae. The record is from Ensembl.